GCCCGUGUAGCUCAGUUGGUAGAGCAGCUGUCUUGUAAACAGCAGGUCGCAGGUUCAACUCCUGUCGCGGGCU
This 73-nucleotide transfer RNA is filed under the name Acidimicrobiaceae bacterium. RNAcentral describes it as "tRNA-Thr". It matches the Rfam family "tRNA". Rfam says of the family: Transfer RNA (tRNA) molecules are approximately 80 nucleotides in length. Their secondary structure includes four short double-helical elements and three loops (D, anti-codon, and T loops). Further hydrogen bonds mediate the characteristic L-shaped molecular structure. tRNAs have two regions of fundamental functional importance: the anti-codon, which is responsible for specific mRNA codon recognition, and the 3' end, to which the tRNAs corresponding amino acid is attached (by aminoacyl-tRNA synthetases). tRNAs cope with the degeneracy of the genetic code in two manners: having more than one tRNA (with a specific anti-codon) for a particular amino acid; and 'wobble' base-pairing, i.e. permitting non-standard base-pairing at the 3rd anti-codon position. RNAcentral also lists the same sequence under 2 other names. Lineage: Bacteria; Bacillati; Actinomycetota; Acidimicrobiia; Acidimicrobiales; Acidimicrobiaceae. The record is from RNAcentral.